AUUGAACGCUGGCGGCAGGCCUAACACAUGCAAGUCGAGCGUGAAAGCACUUCGGUGUGAGUAGAGCGGCGGACGGGUGAGUAACGCGUAGGAAUCUACCCAGUAGUGGGGGACAACUCGAGGAAACUCGAGCUAAUACCGCAUACGCCCUAAGGGGGAAAGCGGGGGAUCUUCGGACCUCGCGCUAUUGGAUGAGCCUGCGUCGGAUUAGCUAGUUGGUGGGGUAAAGGCCCACCAAGGCGACGAUCCGUAGCUGGUCUGAGAGGAUGAUCACCCACACUGGGACUGAGACACGGCCCACACUCCUACGGGAGGCAGCAGUGGGGAAUAUUGCGCAAUGGGGGAAACCCUGACGCACCCAUGCCGCGUGUGUGAAGAAGGCCUUAGGGUUGUAAAGCACUUUCAAUGGGGAGAAAAGUCUUACGGUUAAUAACUGUGAGAGUUGAUGUUACCUAUAGAAGAAGCACCGGCUAACUCCGUGCCAGCAGCCGCGGUAAUACGGAGGGUGCAAGCGUUAAUCGGAAUUACUGGGCGUAAAGCGCGCGUAGGCGGUUUGUUAAGUCAGCUGU
This 569-nucleotide ribosomal RNA is filed under the name uncultured bacterium. RNAcentral's name for it is "bacterial SSU rRNA". It matches the Rfam family "Bacterial small subunit ribosomal RNA", at positions 28 to 595 of the family's 1533-position model. The record is from RNAcentral.